This 1794-nucleotide ribosomal RNA is filed under the name Triticum aestivum (bread wheat). RNAcentral's name for it is "partial small subunit ribosomal RNA". The record is from RNAcentral. Lineage: Eukaryota; Viridiplantae; Streptophyta; Magnoliopsida; Poales; Poaceae.
AUGUAUGGAUCGCCUCCGCGGCUCUCCGGGAUUCAAUCAGGCUACGUUCCAUUGCUGGUGCGGUGCCCUGCGUCGUUAUCGAGACGGCGGCCGUGGUGCAAUAUACCUCCCCUCCCAUCUAUGUAUGCCCGCCAAGGAUCGGACGAACAGGCCCUCGGUUUACAGCGGCAGCUCGGAGGAGCGUUCGAUCCAGCUCCUCCGGUGGGGGUUGAACGGGGUGCCGCCCCGGUUGAUUCAGAAACAAGCUUCUACGGUAGCUCCUGGCUCCUGCAGCUGGGGAGGAAACCGUCCAGUGACUCCUUUCUGUCCGUGAUGAGCAUGUUGCAUAAAUUGUUUCAUGCGUCAGUGAGAUGCAUAUGCCUGCACGAGUUUGCAUGGCCCUACACAAUCCACCUCUACCAAGAUGGGCAAGGUAACCUCUUAUGUGAAGAGGAGGGAGACUCGGAAGAAGUACAUGGAUGCAACUGCAAAGAUGAAGAAUACUACGAGGACCAUUCGUUCAGGUUUAGCAAAUACAUCUUCGAUGGCUUGAAGGUGAAUAAUGUUGAAGCUCUGGUUGGACCCUACCUCCCACUACCAUACCUACUCCAUAGUUCGAAACCCCAAGCACAUCACGGGAGCGGAAGGGAGGGAGGGAUCAGAAUACCUGCGUUGGGCAUCGGAUGCAGGCCGGAGUGGCACCUACUGCUCGUCGGAAGAGCGUCGGUGGGCUCCAAGCCUCGGAGAGCGCUGGUUGGUCUAAUUGGUUGGCGGCGACACUAUGACAUCGCCGUCCAGCAUUAUCGCCUGAUUGGCUGGUGCCAACUUCGGCAUGCGCAUGACCACCACAAUGGCCUCCUCCAGAACCGGUGGGUUCUGAAGGUGGUACAUAGUCCUUUUUUGGCUCAACUAACCGACAGGUGCAUGCGGUACAAUGGAUCUAGACCAAACAAGGAUAACUUGCCAACUUUUGGUCAUGCCAAAAAAUUGAUUGGAGAGCUUCUCAUCAUCGCCGUUGGCCACAUGCAUCAUCACCGGGAGCUUGAUCAGCGGCAGAGGCUAGAGUUAGGGAUUUGGAGCCGUGAGACCGGCGUCGCCGGAGGCGUCUGCUGCUGCUUAGGAACAGGGUUCCGGUGUGGGGGCACCUGGGUGAUGGUGGCGCCUCUGGCCGCGGGAAGGAUGGAGAGUAGUGGCGCGGCCGCUAGAAACAUUAGUAUUGUUAGAUCUGGCGGAGCGGGAUACAUCAUAACAUAUAUGAAGAUGCUUGAAGACGGAGGUCAUACCCUAAACCCGCUACGGCUGCUGUACCAGAUCAAGAGAGCUAAGGCUACCACCGGUCAGACUGGAAUCACGAUGCCGUUGGCGCCUCCUGCACUGACGACGAUUGGGGAAGCAAAUUCCAAGGCCGGCACAUCCCCUGCUAUGAUGUGGGUAGGGACAAUCUUCAUCGUCUGUCUUUCCAUCGGCGGCACCUCGGCCUUGGCAUACACCCUCUACAGCCACCAUUUCUUCCCUGCUGACCGCUCGUGUUGUCUGCUGACUCUCAUAUUAUGGGGGGUCUACGUGGCAGUGGUCGCAGUGGUAAUGGUGUACAUGACCCUGUUCCUGCCGAACGCCCCUGUUGCCCUGCGGGAAGCACUCGUCGACAUUGGUUGGAUUUAUGUCGGUUCACCUGUCAUGGCGAUAGACAUUCUUCUGAUGUUCUUUGGCCAGCCGUGGAUGGUCAUCUCAAUGUUUUACUGUCUCGGCAUUCUGAUUGCUGGCGUCCUUGCCUUCUGGUGGUGGCUUGCUCUCACGUACAGGAAAUGUGCUUAG